CAGUCGCCACGGUAAUACGGAGGGGGCUAGCGUUGUUCGGAAUUACUGGGCGUAAAGCGCACGUAGGCGGCUUGGUAAGUUAGAGGUGAAAGCCCGGAGCUCAACUCCGGAAUUGCCUUUAAGACUGCCGAGCUAGUAGGUGAGAGAGGUAAGUGGAAUUCCGAGUGUAGAGGUGAAAUUCGUAGAUAUUCGGAAGAACACCAGUGGCGAAGGCGGCUUACUGGCUCAUUCUAGACGCUGAGGUGCGAAAGCGUGGGGAGCAAACAGGAUUAGAUACCCCUGUAGUCCCUGUCUCUUAUAA
Molecule: ribosomal RNA, 301 nt
Filed under: uncultured bacterium
Lineage: Bacteria
Description: partial 16S ribosomal RNA
Rfam family: Bacterial small subunit ribosomal RNA
Source: RNAcentral